RNAcentral lists this RNase P RNA (372 nucleotides) under Actinomycetota bacterium. RNAcentral describes it as "RNase P RNA component class A". It matches the Rfam family "Bacterial RNase P class A". From Rfam's summary of the family: Ribonuclease P (RNase P) is a ubiquitous endoribonuclease, found in archaea, bacteria and eukarya as well as chloroplasts and mitochondria. Its best characterised activity is the generation of mature 5'-ends of tRNAs by cleaving the 5'-leader elements of precursor-tRNAs. Cellular RNase Ps are ribonucleoproteins. The record is from RNAcentral. Lineage: Bacteria; Bacillati; Actinomycetota.
UGAGCCGGCUGGGUGGCCGCGGUGUGCCGUCCCGAGAGGGAGCCGGCAGCUGAGGAAGGUCGGGGCUCCGCAGGGCAAGGUGCUGGCUAACGGCCAGUCGGGGCGACCCGCAGGAAAGUGCCACAGAGAGCAGACCGCCGAUGGCACGUGCAGGCGUGCACAGGCAAGGGUGAAAGGGUGCGGUAAGAGCGCACCAGCGCCCGAGGUGACUCGGGCGGCUCGGUAAACCCCACCAGGAGCAAGGCCGAAACGGGGACGGGCUGCCCGUCCGAUGUCCCCAGGUGGGCCGCUGAGAUGGAUGGCCACCCCGCCGGCGGCGCCGUGAGGCGUCCAGCCGGCGGACAGAACCCCGCCUACAGGCCGGCUCACCAC